GAUGAACGCUGGCGGCGUGCUUAACACAUGCAAGUCGAACGGAAAGGCCCAACCUUGGUGGGGUGCUCGAGUGGCGAACGGGUGAGUAACACGUGGGUGACCUGCCCUGCACUUCGGGAUAAGUUCGGGAAACUGGGGCUAAUACCGGAUAGGAGCUCCUGCUGGAUGGUGGGGUGGGGAGAGUUCCCGGGGUGGGGGGAGCUCGCGGCCUUUCUGCGUGUGUGGGGGGGAAAGGGCUACCAAGGGGUUGACGGGGAGCCCGGCCGGGAGGGUGUACGGCCCCAUUGGGACUGGGAUACGGCCCCGACUCCCACGGGAGGGAGCCGGGGGGGAUAUUGCACCAUGGGCGCGAGCCUGAUGGCGCGACGGCGCGUGGGGGGUGACGGCCUUUGGGUUGUAAACCCGUUUCGCUCGGGGAGAAGCGUUUUUGUACGGGAACCUGUAGAGGAACCACCGCUUACCUCCUG
This 467-nucleotide ribosomal RNA is filed under the name uncultured bacterium. RNAcentral's name for it is "partial 16S ribosomal RNA". It matches the Rfam family "Bacterial small subunit ribosomal RNA", at positions 28 to 507 of the family's 1533-position model. The record is from RNAcentral.